This 1479-nucleotide ribosomal RNA is filed under the name uncultured bacterium. RNAcentral's name for it is "bacterial SSU rRNA". It matches the Rfam family "Bacterial small subunit ribosomal RNA". The record is from RNAcentral.
AAUAAACGCUGGCGGCAUGCCUAACACAUGUAAGUCGAACGAGAAAGUCCCUUCGGGGGCGAGUAAAGUGGCAAACGGGUGAGUAAUGCAUGGGUAACCUGCCCAUACGUUCGGGACAACACUUUGAAAAGAGUGCUAAUACCGGAUGCUAUCAUCGACGCUUAGGCGAUGGUGAUGAAAGGUGGCCUCUCCUUGGAAGCUACCGCGUAUAGAGGGGCUCAUGUCCCAUUAGCUUGUUGGUAGGGUAACGGCCUACCAAGGCGACGAUGGGUAGCCGGCCUGAGAGGGUGUCCGGCCACACUGGGACUGAGAUACGGCCCAGACUCCUACGGGAGGCAGCAGUGAGGAAUUUUGCGCAAUGGGAGAAAUCCUGACGCAGCAAUGCCGCGUGAGUGAUGAAGCUUUUUGGAGUGUAAAGCUCUGUCAAAUGGGAAGAAAUGGUAUAAGAUCAAUACCCUUGUAUCUUGACGGUACCAUUAGAGGAAGCCCCGGCUAACUCCGUGCCAGCAGCCGCGGUAAUACGGAGGGGGCAAGCGUUAUUCGGAAUUACUGGGCGUAAAGAGCGUGUAGGCGGUCUUGUAAGUUAGGCGUGAAAACCUAUGGCUCAACCAUAGGCUUGCGUUUAAAACUGCAGGACUAGAGUAUUGGAGAGGGAAGUGGAAUUCCUAGUGUAGCGGUGAAAUGCGUAGAUAUUAGGAGGAACACCGGUGGCGAAGGCGGCUUCCUGGACAGAUACUGACGCUGAGACGCGAAAGCUAGGGGAGCAAACGGGAUUAGAUACCCCGGUAGUCCUAGCUGUAAACGAUGGGCACUAGGUGUAGGAGGUAUUGACCCCUUCUGUGCCGGAGCUAACGCAGUAAGUGCCCCGCCUGGGGAGUACGGUCGCAAGGCUGAAACUCAAAGGAAUUGACGGGGGCCCGCACAAGCGGUGGAGCAUGUGGUUUAAUUCGACGCAACGCGAAGAACCUUACCGGGGUUUGACAUGUACUGGACAGUCUUGGAAACAAGAUCUUCCUUCGGGACUGGUACACAGGUGCUGCAUGGCUGUCGUCAGCUCGUGUCGUGAGAUGUUGGGUUAAGUCCCGCAACGAGCGCAACCCUUGUCCUUAGUUGCCAUCAGUUCGGCUGGGCACUCUAAGGAGACUGCUGCUUUAAAAGCGGAGGAAGGAGGGGAUGACGUCAAGUCCUCAUGGCCCUUAUGUCCCGGGCUACACACGUGCUACAAUGGCGCAUACAAAGGGUAGCUAGUCGGUAACGCCAAGCCAAUCCCAAAAAGUGCGUCCAAGUUCGGAUUGGGGUCUGCAACUCGACCCCAUGAAGCUGGAAUCGCUAGUAAUCGUGGAUCAGCACGCCACGGUGAAUCCGUUCCCGGGCCUUGUACACACCGCCCGUCACACCACGAAAGUUGGUUGUACCAGAAGUCAUUGAGCUAACUCGCAAGAGGGGCAGAUGCCCAAGGUAUGAUCAGCGAUUGGGGUG